UCAAGCUGAAAAGAGCGCAAGGGGAAUGCCUUGGCAUCAGGAGCCGACGAAGGACGUGACAAGCUGCGAUAAGCCACGGGGAGGAGCAAAUAUCCGCUAUAUCCGUGGAUUUCCGAAUGGGGGAACCCGCUCAAGCAAUACUUGAGCAUCGUGCGUUGAAUCAAAUAGGCGUACGAAGGGAACGGCCUGAACUGAAACAUCUAAGUAGGGCCAGGAAAAGACAUCAACCGAGAUUCCGCUAGUAGUGGCGAGCGAACGCGGAGGAGGCCAAACCGAGGGACGCAAGUUCUUCGGGGUUGCGGACAGACAUCAUGACCAGAGGAAAUUAAGAGAACGGCGUGGGAAAGCCGGCCACAGAAGGUGAGAGCCCUGUAUCUGAAAAUGAAGACUGGCAGUCUGGAUCCAGAGUACCGCGGGACACGUGAAACCCCGUGGGAAACCGGGUGGACCACCAUCCAAGCCUAAAUACUACCUGAUGACCGAUAGAGGAGCAGUACCGUGAGGGAAAGGUGAAAAGGACCCCGGGAGGGGAGUGAAAGAGAACCUGAAACCUUGUGCUUACAAGCAGUCAAAGCGCGUUAAGGCGUGAUGACGUACUUUUUGUAGAACGGUCCGGCGAGUUAUAGUAACGAGCAAGCUUAAGGUAUUGAGUACCGGAGGCGAAGCGAGAGCGAGUCUGAAUAGGGCGUAAAGUUCGUUGCCAUAGACCCGAAACCGGGUGACCUAUCCAUGAGCAGGCUGAAGUGAGAGUAAAAUCUCAUGGAGGGCCGAACCGACCCCCGUUGCAAUGGUGGCGGAUGACUUGUGGAUAGCGGAGAAAUUCCAAUCGAACUCGGAGAUAGCUGGUUCUCCCCGAAAUAGCUUUAGGGCUAGCGUUAUUUUAGAUUACCGGAGGUAAAGCACUGAAUGGUCUAGGGGCCGCGAGGUUACCAAAGCCUAUCAAACUCUGAAUGCCGGAUAAUUGAUGAAUAGCAGUCAGACUGUGUGAGAUAAGUCUCAUAGUCAAAAGGGAAACAGCCCAGAUCUACAGCUAAGGUCCCAAAUGAACACUAAGUGGAAAAUGAUGUGAAACUGCGAAGACAACCAGGAUGUUGGCUUAGAAGCAGCCACUCAUUCAAAGAGUGCGUAAUAGCUCACUGGUCGAGUGGUUUUGCGCAGAAAAUGUAACGGGGCUAAGUGUUCAACCGAAGCUUAGGCAUUGCAGUAAUGCAUUGGGUAGGGGAGCGUCGUAUGCGGGGCGAAGUCAGAGCGGAAGCACUGGUGGACUGCAUACGAGUGAGAAUGCCGGAAUAAGUAGCGAGAAUUAUGUGAGAAUCAUAAUGGCCGAAAAUCUAAGGUUUCCUGGGGAAGGUUCGUCCGCCCAGGGUUAGUCGGGAGCUAAGCUCAGGCCGAAAGGCGUAGGCGAUGCACAUACGGUAGAAAUUCCGUAACCACCGAACUUUAAGCUAGAGGGACGCUUUCUUUAAGGUUAUCCCGGGCGAUGGUUGCCCCGGGCGUAAGGGACCGAAAUUUAGUAGGGAAGUAACUGGCGAGAGAGACGAGAAAAGCUCUAGUGUAUACUAAGGUGCCCGUACCGCAAACCGACACAGGUAGAAGGGAUGAGUAUUCUAAGGCCAACGGGAGAAGGGUUGUUAAGGAACUCGGCAAAUUGGCCCCGUAACUUCGGGAUAAGGGGCGCCUGCGAGAGCAGGCCGCAGUGAAAAGGCCCAAGCGACUGUUUAGCAAAAACACAGCUCUCUGCUAAAUCGAAAGAUGACGUAUAGGGGGUGACGCCUGCCCGGUGCUGGAAGGUUAAGGGGAGUGCUUAGCGCAAGCGAAGGUGCGAACUUAAGCCCCAGUAAACGGCGGCCGUAACUAUAACGGUCCUAAGGUAGCGAAAUUCCUUGUCAGGUAAGUUCUGACCCGC
This 1906-nucleotide ribosomal RNA is filed under the name human gut metagenome. RNAcentral describes it as "bacterial LSU rRNA". It matches the Rfam family "Bacterial large subunit ribosomal RNA", at positions 3 to 1991 of the family's 2925-position model. The record is from RNAcentral.